Long non-coding RNA from Oncorhynchus kisutch (coho salmon), 923 nucleotides. RefSeq lists it as uncharacterized. The record is from RefSeq and is a predicted model, not a curated record. NCBI's taxonomy places the organism in Eukaryota, Metazoa, Chordata, Actinopteri, Salmoniformes, Salmonidae. The transcript is spliced from 3 exons.
UAGCCCUUCUCGCAUCAAUUUCCGCCGUGAGUUUGACUUCCGGCCUGUUGCGAUGAAUCGCUUGCUCAGGGAGGGAGGACAUGUUUCUAAAUAUGGAUCAAAUUGUUAAAAUGAGUAAAGGCGUUGGUGAGAAAAAUGGAGGAAGAAAUUAUAACGACUUUUUCCCAAAUUACAUUCCAACUACAAAGCUGGCGCUGGCUAGCUAGCUUAUUUUCAUUACAAUAGCAUGGCUAGUUAGCAAUAGUCUUCCGUCUAGACUAUAACUAAUGGUUGUUGCGUUGUUGGAACAGAGCAAUAGUUCUUUGUACUUGUCAUUUGGUUGAGACUAAUAUUCGUUUAGAAAAUAAUUGUUUACAUUGUGAAAUUGGUUGGCUUUGCUAGUUAGCAAGCUGAGAUUUAUUUACUCAUGUUGGCUAACCUAACUAUUAGCAAAUUGUUUAGGAGAACAGGUUAGCUCCUUGCAGAAUCUAGACAAUAGAGAAUGGGGAAUAAGAUCUGGCUGGUGCAGUGCCCAGACCAGGUGAAAGCAAACUGCUACAGAGAUAAAAAGCCACAACAUGAUGAUCAGGAGGUCAAAGCAUCUGAAGAGGAGGACAAAAGCCUGCUUUGGAUGAGCAAGCUAGAACAAUAACAACUAGCUAUAUCAGAUAAACAUGUCUAGGAGAAGCGGGGAAUCACCAAAUGCUAAGUUGAACAAGCACCACGGAUGAAGGAGGGGGAGGAAAACAGACAGCUUCUUUCUCCCACAUCUUCACCAAAUCAUACAAUGUUUGCUUCAUGAACAAUUGUUACAUCUGAAAUGAAUACAGAAUUAUUUUAGUUUAUUCUGUUUCUGUUUUUUUUAAUGCUGGAUGUGAGUAAUUUAGCUGGUCUAUAGUAUGUAUUGUUUUGAAGCAUUUAUUAAAUAUCUCAGUCAAAACUAA